UACGUAGGGUCCGAGCGUUGUCCGGAGUUACUGGGCGUAAAGCGCGCGCAGGCGGUCAUGCGCGCCCGGCGUGAAAGCCCCCGGCUCAACCGGGGAGGGUCGUCGGGGACGGCAUGACUUGAGGGCGGUAGGGGCCGGUGGAAUCCCUGGUGUAGUGGUGAAAUGCGUAGAGAUCAGGGGGAACACCCGUGGCGAAGGCGGCCGGCUGGGCCGUCCCUGACGCUGAGGCGCGAAGGCGUGGGGAGCGAAC
RNAcentral lists this ribosomal RNA (250 nucleotides) under uncultured bacterium. RNAcentral's name for it is "partial 16S ribosomal RNA". It matches the Rfam family "Bacterial small subunit ribosomal RNA", at positions 524 to 773 of the family's 1533-position model. The record is from RNAcentral.